AAGACCUCAAAUCAGGUGGGACUACCCGCUGAACUUAAGCA
This 41-nucleotide ribosomal RNA is filed under the name Uromyces jonesii. RNAcentral describes it as "partial 28S ribosomal RNA". Lineage: Eukaryota; Fungi; Basidiomycota; Pucciniomycetes; Pucciniales; Pucciniaceae. The record is from RNAcentral.